CUACGGGUCGCUCCAGUGGGGAAUAUUGCACAAUGGGCGCAAGCCUGAUGCAGCAACGCCGCGUGAGGGAUGAAGGCCUUCGGGUUGUAAACCUCUUUUAGCAGGGAAGAAGCGAAAGUGACGGUACCUGCAGAAAAAGCACCGGCUAACUACGUGCCAGCAGCCGCGGUAAUACGUAGGGUGCAAGCGUUGUCCGGAAUUAUUGGGCGUAAAGAGCUCGCAGGCGGUUUGUCACGUCUGCUGUGAAAAUCCAAGGCUCAACCUUGGACUUGCAGUGGGUACGGGCAGGCUAGAGUGCGGUAGGGGAGAUGGGAAUUCCUGGUGUAGCGGUGGAAUGCGCAGAUAUCAGGAGGAACACCAAUGGCGAAGGCACAUCUCUGGGCCGUAACUGACGCUGAGGAGCGAAAGCGUGGGGAGCGAACAGGAUUAGAUACCCUUGUAGUC
This 444-nucleotide ribosomal RNA is filed under the name uncultured bacterium. RNAcentral's name for it is "partial 16S ribosomal RNA". It matches the Rfam family "Bacterial small subunit ribosomal RNA", at positions 339 to 795 of the family's 1533-position model. The record is from RNAcentral.